AUUGAACGCUGGCGGCAGGCAUAACACAUGCAAGUCGAACGAGUGGCGGACGGGUGAGUAAUGUCUGGGAUACUGCCUGAUGGAGGGGGAUAACUACUGGAAACGGUAGAUAAUACCGCAUACCAUCAGAUGUGCCCAGAUGGGAUUAGCUAGUUGGUGGGGUAACGGCUCAACAAGGCGAAGAUCCCUAGCUGGUCUGAGAGGAUGACCGGCCACACUGUGACUGAGACACGGUCCAUACUCCUACGGGAGGAAGCAGUGGGGAAUAUUGCACAAUGGGCGCAAGCCUGAUGCAGCCAUUCCGCGUGUGUGAAGAAGGCCUUCGGGUUGUAAAGUACUUUCAGCGGGGAGGCGUUACCCGCAGAAGAAGCACCGGCUAACUCCGUGCCAGCAGCCGCGGUAAUUC
This 406-nucleotide ribosomal RNA is filed under the name uncultured bacterium. Its description in RNAcentral is "partial 16S ribosomal RNA". It matches the Rfam family "Bacterial small subunit ribosomal RNA", at positions 30 to 526 of the family's 1533-position model. The record is from RNAcentral.